This 200-nucleotide ribosomal RNA is filed under the name uncultured bacterium. RNAcentral's name for it is "partial 16S ribosomal RNA". It matches the Rfam family "Bacterial small subunit ribosomal RNA", at positions 136 to 334 of the family's 1533-position model. The record is from RNAcentral.
GGGGGGAGUAACCAGUCGAAAGAACGGGCUAAUAACCGCAUGAGCUGGAGACAGGAAAGCGGGGGGACCGGUAAGGCCUCGCGCGAUUGGAGCGGCCGAUGUCCGAUUAGCUAGUUGGUAGGGUAAAGGCCUACCAAGGCGACGAUCGGUAGCUGGUCUGAGAGGAUGAUCAGCCACACUGGGACUGAGACACGGCCCAG